Molecule: long non-coding RNA, 4565 nt
Organism: Hypanus sabinus (Atlantic stingray)
Lineage: Eukaryota; Metazoa; Chordata; Chondrichthyes; Myliobatiformes; Dasyatidae
Exons: 3
Source: RefSeq, a predicted model, not a curated record
GGGGAUAGAUUUUACGUAAGAGAAGAAAGACUAAAAGGGUCAUUUUAUCCACAGACAAUGAUGGGGAUGUGGAAGGAGCGACUAUAGAAAGUGGUAUGGUUGAGUUCAGCUAGAGGGUUUAAAGGAUAUCUUUACAGGCUAAUGGAUAGUACCUGAUCGCAGGGUUAUGGGCUAGACGCAGGCAAAUGGAGCGAAUUCAAGUGGGCAUGGACCAUCUGGAAGGAACCACACUUUCUGUUCAUUGGUACUCUGUGAUUCCAGACAGAGGCCUGAAUAACAAGGAGAGUUUUAAGAAGAGUGUGAGGUUUAGAGGGGAUCUGAGGAAUAAUUGCCUCAUAAGGUUACCAUCAGGAACAUAAUGACGGAGGACAUGUUGCAGGCAGGUAUGUAAAAACCAUCUCUUUGAACAUUUGAAUCACCAAAGCAGAGAAGGCAAUAGACCAAACGCUGAAUUGGAGAAGGCAGAUAACUGGGAUAUAAUAAUGAGCUGAAAUCCCUGUUUCACUACUUAUAUGCCGGUUUCUUAGCUCUUACACAGGCCUUUUAAUCAUAGUUAAAGUCUGUAAAGUUUUAUGAGCUUUUUUUUCAUUUCGACGCCUUGUGCAGGUGCCGGUGGGCAAGUUAUACACGGGUUUCUGAGAUAGAGAUUGGGAUCCCGCAAGACAGUAUUUCUUAUUUCUUAUUAUAAUUAAUACUAUUUUCUCUAAGAUAGGUACAGGGGUGGGGAAAUCACUACUUAGAUGAUGGAGUUUUAUGGAUUGGAGUUAGAAAUGUCAAUUUAACUGUAUAUAGGAUGCCAUUAGCAAUUAAUCAGUUGGCUAAUCGAUGGGACUUAAGCUCUCAGUGGCAAAAAAAUAAAGUCGAGUGUUUUAUAAACAGGAUUAAUAGAAGACGUGUCAGUGGUGAGAAGUGGCAGGUGGAUGCACAAUGAGCUGACAUGGAAGCACCGUAUCAGUAAACUAAUUGAUAAAUAUAAAGGAGCAAUAAAUAUUCUCGGUGUCUCUGUGGAUAUUCUUCGGGUGCGACAUGAAAAUCUCUGCUGACCAUUUACAUUUGUUUCAUUAGAUCAUGUCUUGAUUCUGUGGUACAUGGAUCAGCUUCAUCUCCAACUUUCAAAUGUUUGGCUGUGAUACAAGCACAGGCUUUAAGAUUCUGUUGUGGUGCAGUAAGGCCGUCUCCUGUUUCAGGUUUACUGAUUGAUUUUGCGGAGAUUGACUUUAAUGUCAAUGUACUGGAUUAAUUUGAAGGAGCAAAUAAAUGAUCAUCCUGUUGGAGGUGUGUCGGAGGACAGUUGGGAACAUCACAAGAAGAGUGUUAUAGUUUUGUGUGCUUGGGUUCUUCUUACACUGGGAAUGUGGGUUCGUUGAAUUAUGCAAUAUGUUCCACUGUGGCAUUCCCGGUAACCCCAACUUGUUUGUUUUUUAAUGCCUUUAUUGAUUUUGGGGCACCCGAUUUAAUAAAGUCUCAGGAUUUUGUUAUGCCUGAGAAUCUGUUAGUUCAUUGGUAUAUUAAGGAAAUUUAUUGUGAUAUGUUAACCAUUUUACAGAAGGAUCAAAAUAUAAUUUAACUGGACUGUUGGUGUGGCUGUUUUUGUGCCCAGAUUACAGGUAACGAUAAAGAAACAAGAUUGACCGAUUUCUGGAGAACAACAUUCUCGAUGUCCACAGGGAACAGGGAGAACCCAAAGGGUUCGAUGGCGUGGUCCGGUGUCUCCUCCAUCAACCAGGGAUCCACAAAGCACAAAACGUUACUUUAUUUUGUUUCCCGCAGGUGAGAGAUUCUGGCUGUCAGUUCACACAGCUUGUUCUAAUCACGCUGGGAAUAUGGGUUUGUUGGAUUAUGCAAUGUGUCCCACUGUCGCGUUCUUGGUAACCCCACAUACUUUUUCUCAAACUUUUAGUUUAUUUUAGGUUACACAACUUAAUGAGGGCUCAGGAUACUGUUCUGCUUGACAAUCUUAGUUCGGCAGUAUAUUGUGGAAAAUUAUUAUGAUAUGUUAAACAUUGCUGCAGAAGAAUCAAAAGAUAACUUAACCGGGAUGAUGGUGUGGCCGUUUUUUGUUCAUGAAUUACAAGUAACGAUAAAGAAACAAUUUACCAACCAUUUAUCAGUAUAUAUAGUAGAAUUUGUUUCCAUCAUUUGAGGCUUUUGUUCAUGUAAGUUGCCAUUUGUUCAGAUGCCUGUUCGGUUUUGAUGAGUCUUAAAACAGGUAGUUCUUGCAGUAGGACAGAUUUACUGUUGGAAUCUAAUCAAACAUUAUUUCAGACGCAGAGUAUUGGUUUAUAUUUCCACUUUUUAUGGGUCCCUGCACACUGCGGAUCAGUAACAAAAGCUGUUAAAAUUCCAAAUAGCACAUCAGAAAUUGAGGGGUUGUUGGAUUAAUAAUUAAAUCAAGAUUGGUGGGAUAAAGGGCAUCAAUGGAGACACCUUUACAGAAUACAUACUUGUUUAUGGAAGUUUGUGGAUGACACAAGAAGGUAAGGAAUUACAUUGACACGCCUUAGAAUUUGACACACUAUGCUUAAUUACUGUAUGCCUUUGUUCGUGUUGGGAAGCAUCAUUCUGGGUAUGUAGAUCUCAUUUUAAAAAUGUCAAUAAUUUUAAUUUAACUCACUCUAUCGUGUUUUGUUACGUACAAUCUAUAGGACUUUUCGGGGGGUAACUUAGGUUUCAUUUGAAAAAGGAAGCAGUGAGGGUUUUCUGUCCCAAUUCUCUACACCACACUCCAGUCCAGUUCGUGUCCGGAAUGCAGCUUUAAAUUGGAGUGUCCGCCGUUGUUUAUACAAACCCCGCCCUCGUUCUCCACGUCAGCCAAUUAUUCAAAGAGAAGGCGGAGACUGGUGAUUGACAAUGGAUUAGCCAACCAGCAUCCGGCUAGACCGUCGUCAUCAAAGUGGUCCUGACGAAGGGUCUCGCACUGAAAUGUUGCUUCCCGACUUGCUGAGUUCCUCCAUCUUGUUUGUACGUGUCGACUAGAUCUCCGCCACUUUCUGGCAACGUCGGGCUGCGAGUUCGGUGGGCGGGAACGGGAAUUGAUGGGCAUAUCUGCAGACCAAUGGUCGAGCGGUAUUCACGAGUAAUUCUGUGACUGCCAUUUGACAGAUCCAAUGAGAUACCGAGUUUCCAGGCUGGUGUUCUGCCGCGUCCCACACACACACACUCGUAUCCUCCCGCAACUGCCGGUCGGUGGGACAAUCCGCCCGGGAAUAAACAUAGAAACCUCCGGCACAAAACAGGAGGUUGCUGUGCCGAACAUGUCCUCACCUUGGAAACACCUGGGAGAUGAGGCGGUGAAUGUGAGGAGCUGGAGCCCGGACCGGAGACACUGCGGCCGCCUCUGCCGUGUGCUCAGGACGCGGCUUUAUUAAUGAACUGAAGCCCCGAGGUGACCGGAUAUUUCACCGGCUCAUCACCUGAUAACGUCUGACCGGCGCAAUGCCCACGCACACAAAAAGGGAACAAACUGGCCUCUCCCGGAAACCACACCCCUUCGUCUUCUGAGAGAACAUUGCUGCUUUCCAAACAAUGAAGAAUUACACAACAUCUAUAAUUCACUGUCACACAAAAAGGGAACAAACUGGCCUCUCCCGGAAACCACACCCCUUCGUCUUCUGAGAGAACAUUGCUGCUUUCCAAACAAUGAAGAAUUACACAACAUCUAUAAUUCACUGUGUAAGUCAACCGUCAUCACAGUGCGGGGUGGGGGAUGUGGGGACGGUGGGGGGGGUGGUGAGGAAACAGGCGACAGAAAAGGGGGAAGAUUACGGAGGAAUGUGUGGAGGAAAGAGUGGGGCAGUGUGGAUGAGAAUGGAUGAAGAGAGGAGGACAGGGAGAAAGAGAUUGAGGCUAUAUAUAUUUAGUCUCUCCCUCUCUCCUCCACACUCCCCUCCCCCGCCUCUUCUGUAGCACACGAAAAGGGAACAAACUGGCCUCUCCCGGAAACCACACCCCUUCGUCUUCUGAGAGAACAUUGCUGCUUUCCAAACAACGAAGAAUUACACAACAUUUAUAAUUCACUGUGCGAGUCAACCGUCAUCACAGUGCGGGUUGGUGGAUGUGCGGAUGGGUGUGUGGCGGGGAAACGGGUGACAGAAAAGGGGGAAGAUUACGGAGGAAUGUGUGGAGGAAACAGUGGGGCAGUGUGGCUGAGAAUGGAUGAAGAGAGGAGGACAGGGAGAAAGAGAUUGAGGCUAUAUAUAUUUAGUCUCUCCCUCUCUCCUCCACACUCCCCUCCCCCGCCUCUUCUGUAGCACACAAAAAGGGAACAAACUGGCCUCUCCCGGAAACCACACCCCUUCGUCUUCUGAGAAAACAUUGUCACUGUCCAAACAACGAAGAAUUGCACAACAUCAGACAAUUCACUGUGCGAGUCAAUCGUCAUCACAGUGCGGGGUGGGGGACGUGGGGACGGGUGGGUGCUCGGGAAAACGAGCUGCAGUAAAGGAGGAAUUGGGGUGAGGGUGAGAGGUAGGGGAAGCGUUCGGUAGAAAGGGUGAAAGAGAUUAUAAGGGGAGAAGAAGGGGAGUGAGUGAAUGAGUGGGUAGGGUAGGGAGGAAUGUGCUGAG